GACGAACGCUGGCGGCGUGCCUAAUACAUGCAAGUAGAACGCUGAAGGAGGAGCUUGCUCUUCUGGAUGAGUUGCGAACGGGUGAGUAACGCGUAGGUAACCUGCCUGGUAGCGGGGGAUAACUAUUGGAAACGAUAGCUAAUACCGCAUAAGAGUAGAUGUUGCAUGACAUUUACUUAAAAGGUGCAAUUGCAUCACUACCAGAUGGACCUGCGUUGUAUUAGCUAGUUGGUGGGGUAACGGCUUACCAAGGCGACGAUACAUAGCCGACCUGAGAGGGUGAUCGGCCAAACUGGGACUGAGACACGGCCCAGACUCCUACGGGAGGCAGCAGUAGGGAAUCUUCGGCAAUGGACGGAAGUCUGAACGAGCAACGCCGCGUGAGUGAAGAAGGUUUUCGGAUCGUAAAGCUCUGUUGUAAGAGAAGAACGAGUGUGAGAGUGGAAAGUUCACACUGUGACGGUAUCUUACCAGAAAGGGACGGCUAACUACGUG
RNAcentral lists this ribosomal RNA (495 nucleotides) under uncultured bacterium. RNAcentral's name for it is "partial 16S ribosomal RNA". It matches the Rfam family "Bacterial small subunit ribosomal RNA", at positions 28 to 507 of the family's 1533-position model. The record is from RNAcentral.